Molecule: long non-coding RNA, 1392 nt
Organism: Polistes dominula (European paper wasp)
Lineage: Eukaryota; Metazoa; Arthropoda; Insecta; Hymenoptera; Vespidae
Source: RefSeq, a predicted model, not a curated record
CUGGUGCCACUGCAGAACCUGCAAGCCCGUAUGGUGUGACGCUUCUAUUAUGAGGAAGAGUCUUGAAAGUUGCAGGAUAUUGUCCAAGCGGAAGACGAGUGUUGUCUGGUGCUGUAGAAGCUUGACUAGUCGGCGAGGCGCCACGACCGCCGGAGAAAGCCAACAGGUCCGGCGGAUACUGUCGGUAACGAUAAAGCAACGUGGCAAUAAAAUAAUACAAAAGAGAAGAGAAAAUGUUGGGAAAAUCUAAUUUUACACGAAGAAAAGGAAAGAGAAGAGAAAGGAAAAUAAAAAGAAAAUACAAAUUAUAUGCUAUAACGAAUAUAAUGGAGAGAGUGGACUUGGGCAAUCUCUAGCGUGCAUAUUGAAGUCAUGGCGACCGGAUCCACCGACCAGUCCAGUCGGUGGAAACUCACAAAGCCAAUAUGGAGGAGGCGAAGAGACGUUUGCAAUUAUUUACGGCGCGGUCGAGAGCCGGUCCUAUUGUGGUUAAGCAGCGAACGCAAAAGGGAAAGAUCCGCCGUCUCUCUAUUAUGUGAACAUAAUUUGGACAAGGUAAACGUUGUAUUCAUUCCUCUGCAUUUCGAAGUAAUAGUAGGUAUUGUCGAAAUUGAAAAUACUAACUGAAAAGACUAUUGUCGAAAAUUCAUAUGUACGAUAUUUCCGACAAAAUAUCUUUGACAUACAAUUACCUACUUAUUUAAAAUCUUUAAGUUAUCUGAAUUUUGGUAAUAAAGAAUUCAUUGGUAAAGAAAAUAAUUUGCAAUUGAUAUCUCUGCAAACUAAUAAGUAGAAGAUAAAAAGAAAGAUGUCGUUGACCGUUUUGCAAUGAAAACUCGUGCAGAAAUAGCAGCGUCAAUCUCGCAUUAACAUUUCAUUUUAUUCGACACAUUGUCCUGAUUUUCAUGCUUCUCUAUUAUAUUCAUCCACGGAAAGAGAAGUAUUAUCAUGAAAUAUUAGUGAGAUUUGCUAUUUUUUUAUUUCUAAUUAUGACUUUUCUUUUUUAUACGGCAAAAUACUGUUAUUUCACAAGAAAUAAUAAAUAUUUAUUUUGACCAAACGAUUGUUUAGAUUAAAAAUUUGUUAUUUUUCCAAAAAUAUUCUAUUGCAUAGAAUUUUUCUGGUCUGCAGUAAACGAAUAACUUGCGUAUAGAAAUAAAAAAAAAAAAUGUCGAUUAUAAAAAACAUUUCAUUCGAUACCACGUUGUUUUCUCCUCGUUUCAUUUAAGUUAUAUUAGUUUUGGGAAAAAUGUUUCUCUCUCUCCUUUUCCUACGUUUCCAUUCUGCUUUCUCUUUACCUCUCGUUCUUCUCUUUUCAACUCACAGCUUUAGAUAUGCAGUGUUUUUGUCGCGAUCCUCAAUAUUUGCAUAUUCGUAUAGAACAAACUUUAU